RNAcentral lists this long non-coding RNA (3435 nucleotides) under Hordeum vulgare. RNAcentral describes it as "long non-coding RNA (HVUL_LNC007855)". The record is from RNAcentral. Lineage: Eukaryota; Viridiplantae; Streptophyta; Magnoliopsida; Poales; Poaceae.
GCCUCUUCUCCUUAGUCUCCUCUCUGUACGUUCGUUCUCAACCUGCACAACAGAAGAGAGAAACCUACAUCCAUCACACACCGCUCCUUCGAUUUCUUCAAUUCUCAACCGUUACAGAUUUUGAAUAGAUGUAGAAGUGCGUCUUGAUCUCCUCUUCCAAUUCCACUACUUGUCAUGCACGCUCCCUUCCUCCUCUCUCCAAAAACUCUCCCUGAACUUUGAAGUGCCAGGGACGUGUGAUCUCAAUCCCGGUGACUCAGGCGGUCUCCAUCUGAACCCAUGCGCCCGAAGGUUCUCCUCCAUGACAUGGUUCCAUUCAGAGUAGAAAGAACGCGAUCCGUCGACCACACACGAAGAAUUCAGCAUGUCCGUGUACAGUGUUCGUCAAGUUCAUCGAUCCGUUCCAUCAAACUCGGUGAGUUUCUUCCCAAAUCCUUUUGCUCGUGUACUCAACCAUAUUCAACUUAUCUCCUAGACAUCAUGACUCGGCCUAUAUUUAUGGUUGACCGCGUGCAUCCAAAUCGGUGGUCAUCCCAUGACACCAUUAGGUUUAUUUAGUUUCUAUUCAUCAUAUGACUUCGUGCCCAACAUAUAGAAUUCUUCCUAUGACCAUAGAAACUUAGUGGCGGAGUUAGAUUGUUUGUUAUACCUUUUGAACGGUAGAAAAUAUAUGACCGUAAUUGUUUUUUAAUAGAAAUCAAGGGUCUUUCGAGUAUGAUUAAAUUUAUGUUAGUAUGUUACUUGAUGUGUUCUUGAUAUGCUUAGGAGCGUAUGCUAUUUAGCUAAUAAUUUCAUAUGACAUGUGAUUUGUUAGAUUUAUUUCUUUAAUCAAAUACACUUUUCAAAAUUGUUUAACGUGUUGCAUGUUAAUAAUUUAUGAUGCAUCAAGUAGGUCUCUCAUGUGCACGUGUACAAAAUUUGAUGAGUGUUCGCUAUGUCUACAAUUCCUUAGAUGUCUUAGGAGUUGCAUAUGAUUUACUAGAUUUAUUUUACUCUUGUUUUGAAUUUUUAAAAGUUGUACGUAUGCUUCAACACAAUUAUUGUGGCAUUGUGUCUAGUCUUAUUUUAUGCGUGUGCACUGAUUUUUGAGAAGUAUUGUCACGUGUAGAAUCCUUGUAUUUAAUAUAAACUUAGUUUAAUUUGAAGUAUAUAAUAUGUGUCCUUUGGUUAUUGAUUUAUGUUUAUUUUAUGAAUAUAUUCGCAUUGUUAUGGGAAAGAUUACAAUCAUAUAGUAUUAUGAUGUCUAUGUGUAGCAAUUUCCGAGAUGCGUAGAUUUAUGGUGAAUCACUAUAAGCGAUGCUUGGUGUAUUUAAUUAUGAUUUAUUUCAUGUUUUUAUUCUUUUCAGUAGCAUAGCGAUAUUUUACAUAUUUGUGUGUAUAUGUUCUUACCCAUGCAUGUUACAUGAAUAUUGUAUAUAUUUUAAGUCGUACGGUGCUCUAGGUGUUGUUUUCUUAAAUUAACAGUGUACCUAGUUUAUUAGUAGUGGUCAUGAGUUGGUAUGUUGUGUUUGAGCAUAUGCAUCAUUGUUGUGAAUUGUUUGUUCUAGGCCUAUCAUUGGUAUUUAGAUUAAUUGCCGCAUCAUGGUUUUGGUCACUUUCUUACUUCCCUAAGUUGCGUGACAUAACAUGUUUUAUGUGAUAUUUUAGUAAAACCUUUUUUAUGUAGGUGUUAUUCAUAUUGUAGAUCUUUAUUAUCUAAGAUUACAUGGUUGGAUGCUUUUAUGUCAUGGUUAUAUUUGUUCCCUCUCUAGAAUUUAUUUCUUGUGGCAUAGAAGCUAGUUUAUUACAUCUUGAUAAUUAUUUCGGUGUGUUUUAUUUACCUAGGAUAAAUAACAUGCCAUGCUAGCACUUGCUCAAACGUUGAAUGCAUGUUUUAUUAUAUAUUUUCCAUGUGUUAUAACAUUGAUAGUAUUUAUGGUAUGAUGGUAUAUAUUGUUAGCCUUUUCUUGGUAGAGAUACAUGCUAGUUGUGUAUGAUUUCCUCUUGCUUGAGCAAUACCAUAUCUCGAUGUUGUGAUUAUCAAACUAUAUGAUAGUGUGUGUAUCAAUUCAUAUUAUUGAAUAUUCAUGCUUAUGUAGCUUAUGUCUUUACAAGUGUAAAUUGUAUUUGAUAGUGAUGAAUGUUGUCUCGAUUAUUCAUGUUAGGAUAUUUCUUCGCUUGAUGUCAUGCAUGCAUGACCUAGAUGUUUACGUGCUUACAUGAUUAAUAUUCAUUCUCCAAGUGCUUAUUUAUCAUAUCUAUGAUACCAGUGAUGUUUGCUAAUGUCGUGUGUGAUCUUUAAGUUAGUCUAUAUAAACUAAGUUAUGUGUUGUAUUGUAUUGGUAGAAUAAUGUGGUAUCUCAUGUGAUGAUCCCUCAUGAUUAGUCACUAUAUCUACUUAUCUAUCUAUUACAUUGUUGUAUGCUUAAGCCUGUACAUCUUGUCAUGAUAGUGAUCUUUCAUGUCUUAUUAUGCUCCAUGUGUUAUAGUAGAGUACGUAGUCCUUGUGCUUCUUAUACAUGAUUGCCCUUGUCACAUGUUAGUGUUUUAUACUUGAUGCAAUAGUUCAUCCCAUGCUUAGGAUAGUUUACCUUCAUGUUAGUUGAGUUCUGUUGUGGUGUUAGUAUGGCUGUUAGGGCUUAUUCAUAUUAGUUGCUCUUUUCGCAGUAAUACCAUGUCCUAGUUUAGUAUCUUCUCAUUCUACCUCCUAUGUGUGAUGAUUGUGUUAUUAGAUAAUACCUCUUUGUUAUUUUGUACUUACAUACAUGUAUGAGUUGGGUCUUAUUAUUCAGUUACUCAAUUAGCUUUGACCAUAGUAUUGGUUUGACAUAAGGGAGUGGAUCAUAUUUUAUUCUAAUUUGUAUCACAAUGUUAGUCUUGAUCGCCAAGCCUUCCUUAGUCGUGUCAACCUAACCUUUUCCCUUCGUAGAAUUCCAUCUCUUACCUUCCUAUCGUGCUACCUCAUAUCGAAAUAUCCAUCUUGAUCAAUUUCUUGCUACCCAUCCACUCUUAUUGUUGUUUUGGAUGCUAUUUGGAGUUAUUGCUUUGGUAUUUAUUUAUUUGUCUUUUGCUAUCGUUACGACGAGUAGGGAGUGACGAGGUGGGACAUGGACACAAACAGGUUACUGAAGAAGGGCUCAACAACGAAGGCAUGCCUCCUUCUUUGAUCAUACUUAUCCUAUGUUUUAUAAAUUGCAUUGAGUUUUAUGGUUACAACAUGCAUGUUGUUAAUCUCGUAGCUAGCGUGUCGAUUGACACAUUACCUUGAUACGCUUGUCGCCUAUCUAUUUGACACCUGAGUAGCAGUAUAUAGUAUUCCGGUAGAGUAGAAAUGCUUAGCCAUGCUUAUUACCUAUAGGUGCUUUGUUGAAUGACUCUUGAGUCAUUGACACUUGAAACUUACCGCUGAGCUAGCCAGUUGGCCUUGUUGACCUUCUCUAUCCUCUUCUACUCUGG